Molecule: ribosomal RNA, 217 nt
Filed under: uncultured bacterium
Lineage: Bacteria
Description: partial 16S ribosomal RNA
Rfam family: Bacterial small subunit ribosomal RNA
Source: RNAcentral
GUCCCAGUUCGGAUCGCAGGCUGCAACCCGCCUGCGUGAAGUUGGAAUCGCUAGUAAUCGCGGAUCAGCAUGCCGCGGUGAAUACGUUCCCGGGCCUUGUACACACCGCCCGUCACACCAUGAGAGUCGGGAACACCCGAAGUCCGUAGCCUGACCGCGAAGGGGGGCGCGGCCGAAGGUGGGUUCGAUAAUUGGGGUGAAGUCGUAACAAGGUAAC